UCCUUUCAGCCAAGGCUGCCCAAAACCAGAAAACAAUAUUCUUCCCUUUCUUUUUAUUUUUCCUAGAUUCUAGUUUUGCUUUUUAUUCUCUUUUGUCCUCCAACUACCCAAGCCUUCUUCAGCCCUGUGGCCUUCCUUUUCCAAGUGGUUCUUACUUCUUGUUGUGCCACUGGCCUCAAAAUUUGUUUCUCCAAGUAUAUGCAAUAGCUUGAUGAUUGUGCUGGGGAGAAUUGCACUUGUACUGCAAGAAAUGCCAUGUUUCUAUGGCUUGUAAUAUGGUUUUCUUGCUAUUUACAAUUGGGGUUAGGGCUUUGCUUUUAUGACUUUUGUGUUAUUCUCCCCCAGUAUCUCCAAUUUUUUUUUCAUAAUUUAGUACUUCAAAUUCUAAGUUUUCAACCGAUAAGCUUAACCUGAUUGGAUCUAGGAAUUGCUUUAUUAAAUCAUAUACUUCCAGUAAAUAUCAAGAGCCUUGCAGGCAGCAUUGCAACGUUGGCAAAUUGGCUGGCAUCCUGGAUAGUUACAAUGAUUGCUAAUUUACAUUUGACUUGGAGCAGAGCAGGGUUCUUCAUUCUACUCGAGAACGCCAAGGAUGUUACAAAACACACAACAGUAAUGCUGAAUUAAAGAAACAGGGAGAGGAUCGUUCAGAAAGAUGGUGUGAGUUGUCA
Mangifera indica (mango) is the source of this 668-nucleotide long non-coding RNA. RefSeq lists it as uncharacterized. NCBI's taxonomy places the organism in Eukaryota, Viridiplantae, Streptophyta, Magnoliopsida, Sapindales, Anacardiaceae. The record is from RefSeq and is a predicted model, not a curated record. The transcript is spliced from 3 exons.